UUAGGCUUUGAAAUGCCGGCCCAUCAAAUGCAACCGGAAAUCGGCCAAUCAAAAACGAGACUUUUUUAACUCCCACUGCAGAACUUUACAAUGUACAAAAAUUCAGACCCGAUCAGCCAAAGUGAAUUGACAGAGAAGGAACAUUUGUCGAUGGUUAUUUUGGAAAAAACAGUGACAGACUACAAAUGGAUAGAUAAUAAAGGACACGAGACAGGACAUGUACAUACCACAAACUGACCAAUAAAAAUCUAACAAAUAAAUAGAUCAUUAAAAAUUCUUGCCCGAUAUAUAGAAACAGGGGAAGUUUAACGUUCGGGUACCACGCAACCAAUAUAUUAACCUGAAAGACCACAACAGAAAACCUCCGAGUACCUGCAGCUAUAUGUAAUUACAAUUUCUGUACGCUUAUUUGAAUGUACGUGAAUGCACGCGCCAUUAUUGUGUGCAGGAGAGGAGCUUUUGCGGUCAACCCCUUUCUAGGGGUAAGGAAAUUGUUUGAAAAUAUAUCCACAUCAAGGAACGUAAUCAAAUUAUGGGAAUUUUUAAUUGCACGAUGGGCAGGCCGGAACAGAACUUCUAUCGAAAAAGUAGAACUGAAAACACUACUGAUGUCUCAAGUUGUGAAUAUUUAAUAAAGCAAUAGCCAUUAUCUUGUGAUUUUAGAA
Bactrocera tryoni is the source of this 665-nucleotide long non-coding RNA. RefSeq lists it as uncharacterized. NCBI's taxonomy places the organism in Eukaryota, Metazoa, Arthropoda, Insecta, Diptera, Tephritidae. The record is from RefSeq and is a predicted model, not a curated record. The transcript has 2 exons.